AUGAACGACUACGCACCGGCGGACAGCUCCAUUGACCGCAGCGCUGACGAGACGCUCCCCAGCUGCCGCUUCACGGGCCUCGCCGACGAGUACACGCGUGUGAUAACCAGUGUGGAGAAGUGUAGGGACCGGCUGUUGUCGCCGACUCUGUACCCCAUGGUGUUGGCCGACCGGAACAAAGCAGUGCUAGCGAACAUGCUUGGCAAACUGUUAGGCAUAUGA
Molecule: ribosomal RNA, 222 nt
Filed under: Triticum aestivum (bread wheat)
Lineage: Eukaryota; Viridiplantae; Streptophyta; Magnoliopsida; Poales; Poaceae
Description: partial small subunit ribosomal RNA
Source: RNAcentral